This 161-nucleotide ribosomal RNA is filed under the name uncultured bacterium. RNAcentral describes it as "partial 16S ribosomal RNA". It matches the Rfam family "Bacterial small subunit ribosomal RNA", at positions 571 to 731 of the family's 1533-position model. The record is from RNAcentral.
GUAGGCGGUCUUGCAAGUCGGAUGUGAAAGCCCCGGGCUCAACCUGGGAAUUGCAUUCGAUACUGCCCGGCUAGGGUGCGGAAGAGGGAAGCGGAAUUUCCGGUGUAGCGGUGAAAUGCGUAGAUAUCGGAAGGAACACCAGUGGCGAAAGCGGCUUCCUG